GAGUUGACAAUAAUUUACUAUAUGGAAAAAUAAAAUAUCAUAAUAAUAAAAAAACAAACGAUUUGUCAUCAAUAAGAUCAUCACUCAUCACCACUAUCGACUUUUCUACCAUCAUCCUGAUGAGUCAUAUCUAGAGCUAAGGCUGUAAAAUGCAUACCCUGCAUCAUUUGCACCAUCAUGUUUUGCAUCAUUUGUUGCAUGCGCUCCUCCAAUGUCUGCUCACGUUGUCUAUAUCUCUCCUCUAGCAUCAACUCGCGUUGUCGAUCUCUCUCCUCCAUUGCAACCAAACUAUCCUUGAGCGUUGCAAUAGUCUGAUGCAAUUGUUGAAUCUCUUCCUGCAUUGCCUCUGACUGAGCACAAUAGGAUGCAGUAGAAGAUGAUCCAUGUGAUGAGCUAGGGUAAAAAAUUGAUGCUUGAGAUCCAAUGCCAUAAACCCUGUUCUUCUUCUCCCCCCCCACAACUUGAUAAUAUAGUGCGACCUCAUCUACAAUAGGAGGGUCACUGCACCCCUCUUGUGGUUGAGACGACUGCUCCUUAAGCGCCAAAAAUGCAUCCUUAAUUGAUUGCGCUCGUGCAUCAACCAUAUCGGAGGUGCCCUUCCUAGUAUGGGUCUUAUGGAAAAGCUUAUAAGGAAAAGGUCUUCGGCCAAGCUGGGCUUCCAUUCUAUCUGCGUGAGUAACAUUUGAAACUGAACCCCCUGUGUGUCUAGAGAUGCCUGCCCCAACUCCCCCUAUCUCACUACAAUGGUUAGCAGUGAACUGAUGGCUCUUGGCUUUAAAAUCUAGGCUACUCCAUGCCUCCUUCCAUUUUUGCAUUGUACUACCAAGCAUGAUGACCUUGGAUUUUCCUUUUUUAACACUGCACAUUAGUGCCUUGUAGCACUCUGCAGCCUUACGCCUCCAGGCUUCCUUUACGAGUGGAGUCACCUCCUGCCAGUCAAAGUAUUUCUGAAAUUCAUCAUAGUAAAACUCCUUUGUCUCAGGCGUGACAGUUUUCCAACAGUGCCCCUUUGGGUCCAUCCUCUCCUUGAAAAUAUUCUUCAUCUUCUUAGCACAUUCCUCAGAUGGAUCUAACUUGUACACAAGAAAGACAACAAGCAUAUUGAUUUUAUGCAAAUGUAAAAACAUGGUACUUCAAUCGCUAAUGACAAGUAAUACUAAAUCAUACAUAAAGUUAAUUUUUAAUACUUACGCGCCAUUAAUGAGCUUUAUUUGUUUCUUUCUUCCAAAGGUAGUGAGCGAUAGGCCAUCUAUUGAUGAUAUCAGUGUUGCCCCAACUAAAUGACCUCCAUGACUAAAUGUCAAUCCAACUGCAGGUUUAGAAGAUGGGGUAGUAGGUAGUGGUGGUGGAGGUGGAGGUGUAGCUCAAUGCUGUGUUGAAGCAGUAGACCCCUCUGGAUCUGGUGCCGACCUCCCAGUGGAUCGUGAAGGAACCUGAGGCUGACCCUGUGUAGAUUGGUCUAGUUGAUCAUUGGGCUCAUCCUGCACAGGUAACUGCCUUGACUGUGAAUGACCCAACAAACCUCCCCUGCGACCGUUGCCUCGCAUCCUGUGUGAUACUGAAAGCAAGGGACAAAAUAACGAGAGAUAGUGACCAAAAGAGAAUGAGACAGACAACAGUGUCAAGGGCUCGAAGAACCAAAUGGAAUAUACAUACCACUACCAAAGGAAGAAGAGAACACAAAGAACAACCCACAAGCGUGCAAGAUAGAAGCCUCAAAAAGCCUCUCCGCCAACAGGCAACAAUCCCCAGACGAAGAACGACCAAAACACUAAAAACAGAUGUAGAAACAAAGUGAAUGGGAAGGGGCAACAGGGACAGGUUGAUAAAAGAAAAUUUGAAUAUUUUUAAACAAUGAGAUGCACAGAAAACAUAUUCAACCAAUUGUAUCAGAAAAAACUCGAAAACAGAGUAAGAUCUGCUUCUCUUGCACCUGAAUCAAUAUAUUAACAGACAAAAGUGAGGACUGGAAUCAAAAUUGGGAGGACUGUCCCUGGCCAGGGCUACCCAUUAGUAAACAUGUCAAUAAAUUAAGGAUCUUCUUUCAUUCACCAUUAUAUAUAUUAUUUGUGAGGGCAAAAAAAUUAAAGGAAAACAGAAAGAGAAUAUGCUAAAAGACACCAAUAAAAAAAGAGAAGAACCAUAAGAGAAUAUAGUAAAAACAGAAACAAGGAUAUUCCCAAAUUGUUUUUAAUCCCAUAUCUGCAAUUAAUAUAAGAAACUCUAAACAUACAAAAGAAUAAUAUGAGAUGAACAGAAAAUAGAGUAAGAACUGUUUCUUUUGCACAGGAACCAACACACACUCAGAUACAAAAAAAAAGCUAUUUGUAAAAUCCAAGAAAAAUAUUCAUAUGUGCUUUUAUAUAUAUAUUC
This 2373-nucleotide unclassified non-coding RNA is filed under the name Hevea brasiliensis (rubber tree). Lineage: Eukaryota; Viridiplantae; Streptophyta; Magnoliopsida; Malpighiales; Euphorbiaceae. The record is from RNAcentral.